UUAUGGCCACAUCAUCUUGAAACAAUGGUUCCCAUAUGAUCGAAGUUAAGCAACAUUGAGCCUGGUCAGUACCUAGAUAGAUGACCCCCUGGAAAUACCAGGUGCUGUAAG
Molecule: non-coding RNA, 111 nt
Organism: Acanthosepion pharaonis
Lineage: Eukaryota; Metazoa; Mollusca; Cephalopoda; Sepiida; Sepiidae
Source: the annotation of a GenBank genome assembly